AUUGAACGCUGGCGGCAUGCCUUACACAUGCAAGUCGAACGGCAGCGGGCCUUCGGGUGCCGGCGAGUGGCGAACGGGUGAGUAAUGCAUCGGAACGUGCCAUUGAGUGGGGGAUAACGUAGCGAAAGUUACGCUAAUACCGCAUAUUCUGUGAGCAGGAAAGCAGGGGACCGCAAGGCCUUGCGCUCUUUGAGCGGCCGAUGUCAGAUUAGCUAGUUGGUGAGGUAAAGGCUUACCAAGGCGACGAUCUGUAGCGGGUCUGAGAGGAUGAUCCGCCACACUGGAGCUGAGACACGGUCCAGACUCCUACGGGAGGCAGCAGUGGGGAAUUUUGGACAAUGGGCGCAAGCCUGAUCCAGCCAUGCCGCGUGAGUGAAGAAGGCC
This 384-nucleotide ribosomal RNA is filed under the name uncultured bacterium. RNAcentral's name for it is "bacterial SSU rRNA". It matches the Rfam family "Bacterial small subunit ribosomal RNA", at positions 30 to 416 of the family's 1533-position model. The record is from RNAcentral.